RNAcentral lists this ribosomal RNA (468 nucleotides) under uncultured bacterium. RNAcentral's name for it is "partial 16S ribosomal RNA". It matches the Rfam family "Bacterial small subunit ribosomal RNA", at positions 28 to 507 of the family's 1533-position model. The record is from RNAcentral.
GACGAACGCUGGCGGCGUGCUUAACACAUGCAAGUCGAACGGAAAGGCCCUGCUUUUGUGGGGUGCUCGAGUGGCGAACGGGUGAGUAACACGUGAGUAACCUGCCCUUGACUUUGGGAUAACUUCAGGAAACUGGGGCUAAUACCGGAUAGGAGCUCCUGCUGCAUGGUGGGGGUUGGAAAGUUUCGGCGGUUGGGGAUGGACUCGCGGCUUAUCAGCUUGUUGGUGGGGUAGUGGCUUACCAAGGCUUUGACGGGUAGCCGGCCUGAGAGGGUGACCGGCCACAUUGGGACUGAGAUACGGCCCAGACUCCUACGGGAGGCAGAAGUGGGGAAUAUUGCACAAUGGGCGGAAGCCUGAUGCAGCAACGCCGCGUGCGGGAUGACGGCCUUCGGGUUGUAAACCGCUUUCGCCUGUGACGAAGCGUGAGUGACGGUAAUGGGUAAAGAAGUACCGGCUAACUACGUG